UACAGAGGUCUCAAGCGUUGUUCGGAUUCAUUGGGCGUAAAGGGCGCGUAGGCGGAGAUGUAAGUCAGAUGUGAAAUCCCGGGGCUCACCCCCGGAACGGCAUUUGAGACUGCAUCCCUUGAGGGUAGGCGGAGAAAACGGAAUUCCACAAGUAGCGGUGAAAUGCGUAGAUAUCUGGAGGAACACCGGUGGCGAAGGCGGCGUUCUGGACUGCUACUGACACUGAGGAACGAAAGCCAGGGGAGCAAACGGG
Molecule: ribosomal RNA, 253 nt
Filed under: uncultured bacterium
Lineage: Bacteria
Description: partial 16S ribosomal RNA
Rfam family: Bacterial small subunit ribosomal RNA
Source: RNAcentral